This 373-nucleotide ribosomal RNA is filed under the name uncultured organism. RNAcentral describes it as "partial 16S ribosomal RNA". It matches the Rfam family "Bacterial small subunit ribosomal RNA", at positions 527 to 896 of the family's 1533-position model. The record is from RNAcentral.
GUAGGUGGCAAGCGUUGUCCGGAAUUAUUGGGCGUAAAGCGCGCGCAGGCGGUCCUUUAAGUCUGAUGUGAAAGCCCACAGCUCAACCGUGGAGGGUCAUUGGAAACUGGGGGACUUGAGUACAGAAGAGGAAAGCGGAAUUCCAAGUGUAGCGGUGAAAUGCGUUGAGAUUUGGAGGAACACCAGUGGCGAAGGCGGCUUUCUGGUCUGUAACUGACGCUGAGGCGCGAAAGCGUGGGGAGCAAACAGGGAUUAGAUACCCUGGUAGUCCACGCCGUAAACGAUGAGUGCUAAGUGUUAGGGGGUUUCCGCCCCCUUAGUGCUGCAGCUAACGCAUUAAGCACUCCGCCUGGGGAGUACGGCCGCAAGGCUG